UGUUCUGUGAACAAAAACUUCAACACUUCUAAGAAAUUAAAAAAGAAAGUGGUGAGCACAUAAGGUUCUUGCUACAUCUGUUAGGAAGAAGAAAAAAAUCACAGAACCCCAGAAAUGUGGGGAGUGGAACAAGAAAAUUGGAUAAAAGAACUGUAUCCCAAGGACAGAAAGUCUUUCCCAUUUAAGUAAAAACAAAUCAGAUGACCCAAAACAUUCCUGAUGAAUAAAAACUUAAAUAGAGGCUCUUCAUCUCUUCAUGACAUGACUAGUCAAGCACUAAUUUGGGCAGAACACAGUUUUUUGGAUACCACUUUGCCAACGAUCCCCCGUGAAUUGGAGUUGUGCUUGACAGAGUUCAAAGCUAUGAUGUGGAUCGGACUGUUAUGUUGGGGAGAGGGGAGGUCCAAGACCUCUAUAAAUAAUCUACAGCAGGUAAGUAUUUCUGCACCCUUGCAUCUGGAUCUUGGAGUACUUUCUUUGACCAUUAGAAGAAAACAAACUGAAGCGGAAAUCCAGACUUUCUUGCUGCCAGACUGCAACGCACAGUUGGAUCUACAAACCCAGCUCUCCAAGCUAGUUAGUUAUUCUGGCAUAAACUGUAACAGGAAUUUGACUACAGCACCAAUAUGGGAAGAGGUGGGCACAAAAUACAAUGAGAACAGACGUGCUGAAGACAGUGUCUGAUAUUGUGCCCCAAAAGGAAGCAAGAGAGUACAGGGGAUAAACUGCAGAGCUGAGAGUUCUCCUUGGACAUUCUGCCUGGAAAAGCAACAAUUGAGAAGUGGUCAAGUACCAAUAAAGAAAUGUAAUUGUGCUCUCA
This 820-nucleotide long non-coding RNA is filed under the name Cyanistes caeruleus (blue tit). Its description in RNAcentral is "lncRNA (ENSCCEG00000000906.1)". Lineage: Eukaryota; Metazoa; Chordata; Aves; Passeriformes; Paridae. The record is from RNAcentral.